GAGGACUUUUGCCCCAUAGCUCACAAACAAGUUCUAUGUUGGCUGCUGGCCGACAUAACAGUUUGAAGUUCAAGGCUUUGGAGAUAUGAAACUGGAGGCUCUUAUUCUAGUUGAAUGAGUCAUUUAUAAAUAGGAUAUUUGUGCCAGCGAAGGGGAAAGGCCAAGGCAGUGUUAGAACACAGACCUUGGUGACGUGUACUGAUACUGACUAUCUGAGGUACGGAGUCUGGACAAAAGAGUUUGUGAACCGUGUUGUGUUUUUGUCUUUAUUUUGAUCUCUCUCUCUCUCUCGGUGAGUUCUGGCUUGGUCUUGAGAAGAUACGCGCCGUGGUCAAAGAUGCAGACUACAUCCUCAAGGUUAAGUUCUCCGACUGGAGGGGUGAUUCUGAGACCAUCCAGUACCCCAUCCGUCUGAGUGGGAAGGAGAGCCACUAUGCCCUCCACAUCCAAGACACCUCCAACAGCAACCUGGAGAGCGCCCUGGCUACCGAGGCCUCCGGCCUGCACUUCUCCACCCGCAACAAAGACAAUGACCAGAACAAUGACACCAACUGCGCCAAACACCUCUCUGGUGGCUGGUGGUUCAGCAACUGUGGACGUUCCAACCUGAACGGCCGCUACUUCAUGAGCCCUCCUCCCAAGCAGAGGCAUCAGAGGAAGCAGGGGGUCUUCUGGAAGACCUGGCGUGGCCACUACUAUCCCCUGAAGACCACCGUCAUGAUGAUCGCCCCCGCUGUGAUCGAGAACAAGUCAUAGAGGAAAGACGCUCAGCAUUCUAACACAUUUUCUCCUCUUGAACUGAAACACUGUUAGAGGUGGUUGUCCGAUGACUUGGGUAAGCUACCCAGUCAGUCCUGGCUUCACCCAGUGAGACUUCCAACAAAGACAAGGCCAUUAUAAAACACUCAAUAACUCAUACUUGAAUGGGCUCCAUGUUUCCAAUUCUGUUUUUCAAAAGUGUUAAAGUCUCUCAGCUAGAGACAAAACCAAACAAUGUUUAAAAAGUUAAGAAGUACAUGAACAUGUGAAUCGAGCAGUGAAAAGUUAGAAAGAGUGUUUCACCAAAGCUGUGGUAUGAGCUCACUCUUAAUCACUGUUUAAAGCAACGCUCAGCCUUGGGACUAAUGAAUGGAACAGAAUGAGGUGAGUUCAAACAUGUUUUGUGUCGCAAGAAACCAAGCAUUUUCCACAUGCUAAGACCCAUCUGACGGAGGUUUCUGAAUGGUAAGAGCUCUCCCAGAGGUUGAAUGCUGCCCUCGUUGGCUCGAACCAGCCAAUAAAAAUAAUUUAAAGAAAAA
Oncorhynchus masou masou (cherry salmon) is the source of this 1298-nucleotide long non-coding RNA. RefSeq lists it as uncharacterized. The transcript has 2 exons. The record is from RefSeq and is a predicted model, not a curated record. Lineage: Eukaryota; Metazoa; Chordata; Actinopteri; Salmoniformes; Salmonidae.